CGUAAUAGCUCACUGGUCGAGUCGGCCUGCGCGGAAGAUGUAACGGGGCUAAACCAUGCACCGAAGCUGCGGCAGCGACACUAUGUGUUGUUGGGUAGGGGAGCGUUCUGUAAGCCUGCGAAGGUGGCCUGUGAGGGUUGCUGGAGGUAUCAGAAGUGCGAAUGCUGACAUAAGUAACGAUAAAGCGGGUGAAAAGCCCGCUCGCCGGAAGACCAAGGGUUCCUGUCCAACGUUAAUCGGGGCAGGGUGAGUCGACCCCUAAGGCGAGGCCGAAAGGCGUAGUCGAUGGGAAACAGGUUAAUAUUCCUGUACUUGGUGUUACUGCGAAGGGGGGACGGAGAAGGCUAUGUUAGCCGGGCGACGGUUGUCCCGGUUUAAGCAUGUAGGCGGAGGUUCCAGGUAAAUCCGGUACCUUUUAACGCUGAGGUGUGAUGACGAGGCACUACGGUGCUGAAGUAACAAAUGCCCUGCUUCCAGGAAAAGCCUCUAAGCAUCAGGUAACAUUAAAUCGUACCCCAAACCGACACAGGUGGUCAGGUAGAGAAUACCAAGGCGCUUGAGAGAACUCGGGUGAAGGAACUAGGCAAAAUGGUGCCGUAACUUCGGGAGAAGGCACGCUGGUG
RNAcentral lists this ribosomal RNA (623 nucleotides) under Klebsiella variicola. RNAcentral describes it as "partial 23S ribosomal RNA". It matches the Rfam family "Bacterial large subunit ribosomal RNA", at positions 1133 to 1756 of the family's 2925-position model. The record is from RNAcentral. Lineage: Bacteria; Pseudomonadati; Pseudomonadota; Gammaproteobacteria; Enterobacterales; Enterobacteriaceae.